CUACGGGGGGCACCAGUGGGGAAUAUUGCACAAUGGGCGCAAGCCUGAUGCAGCCAUGCCGCGUGUAUGAAGAAGGCCUUCGGGUUGUAAAGUACUUUCAGCGGGGAGGAAGGGGGUAAAGUUAAUACCUUUGCUCAUUGACGUUACCCGCAGAAGAAGCACCGGCAAACUCAGUGCCAGCAGCCGCGGUAAUACGGAGGGUGCAAGCGUUAAUCGGAAUUACUGGGCGUAAAGCGCACGCAGGCGGUUUGUUAAGUCAGAUGUGAAAUCCCCGGGCUCAACCUGGGAACUGCAUCUGAUACUGGCAAGCUUGAGUCUCGUAGAGGGGGGUAGAAUUCCAGGUGUAGCGGUGAAAUGCGUAGAGAUCUGGAGGAAUACCGGUGGCGAAGGCGGCCCCCUGGACGAAGACUGACGCUCAGGUGCGAAAGCGUGGGGAGCAAACAGGAUUAGAUACCCCAGUAGUC
RNAcentral lists this ribosomal RNA (464 nucleotides) under uncultured bacterium. Its description in RNAcentral is "partial 16S ribosomal RNA". It matches the Rfam family "Bacterial small subunit ribosomal RNA", at positions 339 to 795 of the family's 1533-position model. The record is from RNAcentral.